This 253-nucleotide ribosomal RNA is filed under the name uncultured bacterium. RNAcentral describes it as "partial 16S ribosomal RNA". It matches the Rfam family "Bacterial small subunit ribosomal RNA", at positions 524 to 776 of the family's 1533-position model. The record is from RNAcentral.
GACGAACCGUGCGAACGUUGUUCGGAAUCACUGGGCUUAAAGCGUGCGUAGGCGGUCAUUAAAGUCAAGGGUGAAAUCCCCCAGCUCAACUGGGGAACUGCCUUUGAUACUGAAUGCCUCGAGUAAGGUAGGGGCAUGCGGAACUGAUGGUGGAGCGGUGAAAUGCAUAGAUACCAUCAAGAACACCGAUUGCGAAGGCAGCUUACUAAGCUGUAACUGACGCUGAUGCACGAAAGCGUGGGGAGCGAACAGG